CACACCGCCCGUCACACCACGAGAGUUGACCGUGCCCGAAGUCGUGUGCUCAACCGCAAGGGGAGCAGCGCCUACGGCAAGGCCGGCGAUUGGGGUG
Molecule: ribosomal RNA, 97 nt
Filed under: uncultured bacterium
Lineage: Bacteria
Description: partial 16S ribosomal RNA
Rfam family: Bacterial small subunit ribosomal RNA
Source: RNAcentral